This 345-nucleotide unclassified non-coding RNA is filed under the name soil metagenome. Its description in RNAcentral is "partial contains 5.8S ribosomal RNA, internal transcribed spacer 2, and large subunit ribosomal RNA". The stretch from base 1 to 120 matches the Rfam family "5.8S ribosomal RNA", at positions 35 to 154 of the family's 154-position model. The record is from RNAcentral.
GAUGAAGAACGUAGUGAAAUGCGAUACGUAAUGUGAAUUGCAGAAUUCAGUGAAUCAUCGAGUCUUUGAACGCACAUUGCGCCCCCUGGUAUUCCGGGGGGCAUGCCUGUCCGAGCGUCAUUGCUGCCCUCAAGCACGGCUUGUGUGUUGGGCCUCCGUCCUCCUCCCGGGGGACGGGCCCGAAAGGCAGCGGCGGCACCGCGUCCGGUCCUCGAGCGUAUGGGGCUUCAUCACCCGCUCUUGUAGGCCCGGCCGGCGCUUGCCGACACAUCAAUCUUUUUUCCAGGUUGACCUCGGAUCAGGUAGGGAUACCCGCUGAACUUAAGCAUAUCAAUAAGCGGAGGA